CGGUCCCGGUCCCCGCCUCGCCCCGCUGCCCGGGCGCGGCUGCGCGGAGCCGGGCUGCGCGGAACGCUCGCCCGCUUCAGCGCCCCCGGGGCUGCUCCGCAGCCGCACCGCAGCGCCCGCGAGGCCUGACGGGAGGCGUAGUCCGCGCGGCAGGUGGCAUCCGCCAACGGCUCUAACGGUCCCUAACUGCUCCCCUCAGCGGCGCCCCACCGCACAGCCGGUAAGGAGGGAGGGAGCGAGGGAGGAGCACACAGACCACCGACCGCUGCCGCCAGGCAGCAAAUACACUACAACUGCAAGUCUAAAGAAUUUUCAAUAUUUAUGUUACAUUCAUUCUCAUGGAGUAACUUGCAUCACAGCAUAACUGCCACCACAUUCUGGAAGUACACAUCUCCUAUUAGUCCAGUUUCUCUAAAAGAAUGGGUGCUUUGAGAGGAGUGCAAAAGAAAAACUUGGAAGACCAGGAAAAACCAGGAGCAAAAGAAAACAUC
Long non-coding RNA from Neopsephotus bourkii (Bourke's parrot), 491 nucleotides. RefSeq lists it as uncharacterized. Lineage: Eukaryota; Metazoa; Chordata; Aves; Psittaciformes; Psittacidae. The transcript has 3 exons. The record is from RefSeq and is a predicted model, not a curated record.